AUACGUAGGGGGCGAGCGUUGUCCGGAAUGAUUGGGCGUAAAGGGCGCGUAGGCGGCCCGGUAAGUCUGGAGUGAAAGUCCUGUUUUUAAGAUGGGAAUUGCUUUGGAUACUGUCGGGCUUGAGUGCAGGAGAGGUAAGUGGAAUUCCCAGUGUAGCGGUGAAAUGCGUAGAGAUUGGGAGGAACACCAGUGGCGAAGGCGACUUACUGGACUGUAACUGACGCUGAGGCACGAAAGCGUGGGGAGCAAACAGGAUUAGAUACCCUGGUAGUCCACGCUGUAAACGAUGAAUACUAGGUGUGGGGGGACUGACCCCCCUCCGUGCCGCAGUUAACACAAUAAGUAUUCCACCUGGGGAGUACGAUCACAAGAUUGAAACUCAAAGGAAUUGACGGGG
RNAcentral lists this ribosomal RNA (397 nucleotides) under uncultured bacterium. RNAcentral's name for it is "partial 16S ribosomal RNA". It matches the Rfam family "Bacterial small subunit ribosomal RNA", at positions 523 to 918 of the family's 1533-position model. The record is from RNAcentral.